UAAGAAAAAAGAGAAGAAAAGAAAAGAGAGGAAAAAAAAACAGUGUUGUCCGACGCUGUCGGUCAUUUUGGCCAAUAUCGAUCGACAGUCUUUUAUGUUUUAAUAAAAGCAGAGAUCAUCGCCGAAAGAUAUGCGGGAAACAAAGAAAAGAGUGAUGGGGUCGGAGAGGGUAGAAACUCGGAAGCAACGUAGGUAGAGUCUCCGCAGGUAAAAAUUCUAGAAUGCAAAGGGUAUAUUGAUGACGUGGCGUAACAAAUCAAUCAAAUAUUUUUUUUUAGAAAUAUAUGUCCCAUCAUGAUUGUAAAAAAAUAUUUUUAUUGUACUUUUAUUUGAAAAAAAAAAGAAUGUGAUCGAUUUGUUAUUGAUGACGCUGUACAAGUGUGAUAGUGUAAAAUUCCUCCUCUGCAGGGGAUGGCGUGGAGGAGAGAGUGAGCAAGUGUUGUGG
RNAcentral lists this long non-coding RNA (445 nucleotides) under Ananas comosus (pineapple). Its description in RNAcentral is "long non-coding RNA (ACOM_LNC018921)". The record is from RNAcentral. Lineage: Eukaryota; Viridiplantae; Streptophyta; Magnoliopsida; Poales; Bromeliaceae.